Molecule: ribosomal RNA, 807 nt
Filed under: uncultured bacterium
Lineage: Bacteria
Description: bacterial SSU rRNA
Rfam family: Bacterial small subunit ribosomal RNA
Source: RNAcentral
AACGCGUGGGUGACCUACCUUGAGGAUGGGGAUAGCUGUUAGAAAUAGCAGGUAAUACCGAAUAAGUUCACAAUAUUAUGAUUAUGUGAAGAAAGGAGCUACGGCUCCGCCUUGAGAUGGGCCCGCGUCCCAUUAGCUAGUUGGUGAGGUAAAGGCCCACCAAGGCGAAGAUGGGUAGCCGGCCUGAGAGGGUGAACGGCCACACUGGGACUGAGAUACGGCCCAGACUCCUACGGGAGGCAGCAGCUAAGAAUAUUCCACAAUGGACGAAAGUCUGAUGGAGCGACGCCGCGUGGAUGAGGAAGGCCGAAAGGUUGUAAAAUCCUUUUGCGGAUGAAGAAUAAGUGGUGGAGGGAAUGCCAUCAUGAUGACGUUAGUCCGCGAAUAAGCCCCGGCUAAUUACGUGCCAGCAGCCGCGGUAACACGUAAGGGGCGAGCGUUGUUCGGAAUUAUUGGGCGUAAAGGGCGCGUAGGCGGUCGCGUAAGUCUGAUGUGAAAACCCCGGGCUCAACCCGGGAACUGCAUUGGAAACUGUGCGACUUGAGUCACGGAGGGGAAAUCGGAAUUCCUGGUGUAGGGGUGAAAUCUGUAGAUAUCAGGAAGAACACCGGUGGCGAAGGCGGAUUUCCAGCCGAUGACUGACGCUGAGACGCGAAAGUGCGGGGAGCAAACAGGAUUAGAUACCCUGGUAGUCCGCACUAUAAACGAUGCACACUAGGUGUCGGGACGAGCGUCUCGGCGCCGGAGCGAACGCGAUAAGUGUGCCGCCUGGGGAGUAUGCCCGCAAGGGUGAAACUCAAAGGAAUU